Molecule: ribosomal RNA, 253 nt
Filed under: uncultured bacterium
Lineage: Bacteria
Description: partial 16S ribosomal RNA
Rfam family: Bacterial small subunit ribosomal RNA
Source: RNAcentral
UACGUAGGGGGCGAGCGUUGUCCGGAGUUACUGGGCGUAAAGCGCUUGUAGGCGGUCCACCAAGUUUGGGGUGACAGUUGCCGACUUAAUCGGCAAAGUGCCUCAAAGACUGGCGGACUUGAGGGCCACAGAGGGACAUGGAACUCCAGGUGUAGUGGUGAAAUGCGUAGAUAUCUGGAAGAACACCAAAGGCGAAGGCAGUGUCCUGGGUGGUACCUGACGCUGAGAAGCGAAAGCCAGGGGAGCGAACGGG